CCCGGGCCACCUGAGCGCCCGAGCCAGGCUGAGGCUCCUCCCGACGCAGCUACGCCCUUCGGAGCCGGGGGCGGGGCGAGGCGGCCUGGAGCUCCGGGGGUGCGGCCGGGGUCCCGCGGGGUGCGGUUCCUGUGCUCGCGCCGCGUCCUGAGGCCGCCACACCUGGGUUGCCGCCGGACCGCAGCCGAGCUCAGAGCUCCGCGCUGGGUCCGCCGGAAGGUGCUCCGCCAGGGAGGUCCGGGCAACCCGCGGUGCGGCGAGAAAUGCGUCCCCGGGAAACCGCGCCCGGCGGCGGAGGGGCGAGGAGCUCGGAGCUAAAGUCCUAGUCUCGGCCCUAAAGUCCUCGCCUCGGCCCCGCGCGCGGAACCUCGUAAAAACCUUCGAAGGACCGAAAUCGCCGUUUUAUCGCGGAAGGCAAACACUGCGCGAACUUCCUGGUUCCCAUAGUGCGACGCUCGGCUGCCCAGACCCACAGAAUUCUUCGUUUUAAACCCAAGACGUGCGAGUCACCUGCUUAGCAAAUAUGAUCACAAACUUACCUCCUGCUUGUUCCCCUAAACACCCUCUUCUCUUUCCUAAAGAAACCGAUUGGUCUUCUCUUUCCCCUCCCUCCCUUUCUCCUAUUACCCCUACCUCUGAUUACUGCGUGCACGUCUUCUGUACCCGCCAGAGGGUGUGAAUACACUUUGCUUUCUUCCUGUU
Molecule: long non-coding RNA, 702 nt
Organism: Delphinapterus leucas (beluga whale)
Lineage: Eukaryota; Metazoa; Chordata; Mammalia; Artiodactyla; Monodontidae
Source: RefSeq, a predicted model, not a curated record